This 1279-nucleotide ribosomal RNA is filed under the name uncultured bacterium. RNAcentral describes it as "bacterial SSU rRNA". It matches the Rfam family "Bacterial small subunit ribosomal RNA", at positions 47 to 1339 of the family's 1533-position model. The record is from RNAcentral.
AACGAAGCAUAGGAGUGGAAUUUUUCGGAAGGACACAACUAUGACUGAGUGGCGGACGGGUGAGUAACGCGUGGGUAACCUGCCUCAUGCAGGGGGAUAACAGUUAGAAAUGACUGCUAAUACCGCAUAAGCGCACAAAACCGCAUGGUUUGGUGUGAAAAACUGAGGUGGUAUGAGAUGGACCCGCGUCUGAUUAGCUAGUUGGAGAGGUAACGGCUCACCAAGGCAACGAUCAGUAGCCGACCUGAGAGGGUGACCGGCCACAUUGGGACUGAGACACGGCCCAAACUCCUACGGGAGGCAGCAGUGGGGAAUAUUGCACAAUGGGGGAAACCCUGAUGCAGCAACGCCGCGUGGGUGAAGAAGUAUUUCGGUAUGUAAAGCCCUAUCAGCAGGGAAGAAGAGAGACGGUACCUGACUAAGAAGCCCCGGCUAACUACGUGCCAGCAGCCGCGGUAAUACGUAGGGGGCAAGCGUUAUCCGGAUUUACUGGGUGUAAAGGGAGCGUAGACGGCUUGAUAAGUCUGAAGUGAAAGGCCAAGGCUUAACCAUGGAACUGCUUUGGAAACUAUGAGGCUAGAGUGCUGGAGAGGUAAGCGGAAUUCCUAGUGUAGCGGUGAAAUGCGUAGAUAUUAGGAGGAACACCAGUGGGGAAGGCGGGCUUACUGGGACAGAAAACUGACGUUGAGGCUCGAAAAGCGUGGGGAGCAAACAGGAUUAGAUACCUUGGUAGUCCACGCGGUAAACGAUGAAUGCUAGGUGUUGGUGGGCAAAGCCCAUCGGUGCCGUCGCAAACGCAAUAAGCAUUCCACCUGGGGAGUACGUUCGCAAGAAUGAAACUCAAAGGAAUUGACGGGGACCCGCACAAGCGGUGGAGCAUGUGGAAAAAUUCGAAGCAACGCGAAGAACCUUACCAAGUCUUGACAUCCUCCUGAAUGAUGGAAAAAACCAUCAGGCCUUCGGGACAGGAGAGACAGGUGGUGCAUGGUUGUCGUCAGCUCGUGUCGUGAGAUGUUGGGUUAAGUCCCGCAACGAGCGCAACCCUUAUCAUUAGUAGCCAGCAGGUAGAGCUGGGGACUCUAGUGAGACUGCCAGGGAGAACCUGGAGGAAGGUGGGGAUGACGUCAAAUCAUCAUGCCCCUUAUGAUUUGGGCUACACACGUGCUACAAUGAGGUAAACAGAGGGAGGCGAAAGUGAGAGCUGGAGCGAACCCCAAAAAUAACGUCUCAGUUCGGAUUGUUUUUAGGAACUCGACUACAUGAAGCUGGAAUCGCUAGU